RNAcentral lists this ribosomal RNA (254 nucleotides) under uncultured bacterium. RNAcentral describes it as "partial 16S ribosomal RNA". It matches the Rfam family "Bacterial small subunit ribosomal RNA", at positions 524 to 776 of the family's 1533-position model. RNAcentral also lists the same sequence under 1 other name. The record is from RNAcentral.
UACGUAGGGGGCGAGCGUUGUCCGGAUUUAUUGGGCGUAAAGAGCUCGUAGGCGGCUCAGCAAGUCGGGUGGGAAAUCUCCAGGCUCAACCUGGAGCCUUCGCCCGAUACUGCUGUGGCUUGAGUCCGGUAGGGGAGUGUGGAAUUCCCGGUGUAGCGGUGAAAUGCGCAGAUAUCGGGAGGAACACCGGCGGCGAAGGCGGCACUCUGGGCCGGUACUGACGCUGAGGAGCGAAAGCGUGGGGAGCAAACAGG